AGGGCGGACUGACUAGACUACUCCCGCCCGGCGAAUAAAACUUGAACAUUAGCUCAUUAAUUGGCAACUUGCAUAACUGACAGUUUGCCUUAAUUGCCUUUUUUUUUUAAACAGGACAAUGUGCUUUUAUGAUAUAAAGAUACAGUACGACAAUUUGUGUGGAUCUCUCCGAAUGGGAAACUGCCCCAAAAUAUGUCCUGAUUCAGUAAGGCAAUGUUUGCGCUAAGGAGGGACAAGAACUAAUCAGUAGGAUUUGAAACUUUGCAUGGUUGGAGUAUAAUCAGGUGAAGUUUGCAGAAGCUCCAUAUGUAAAUCUCUUUCGAGUAUUGUUGCUUCUGAACCAGUUGUGCAUGCAUAACACAACGUUCGAUCAGUAUGCGCUACUCAAAAAAGACGUACACACGGCACUAACCUCACCUGCAGCCAAUUUCAUGAAACUUUACGCAACUGUGUAAGUCCACUUGUGCAACAAUUAUGGCGCAAUGCUGAAGAACCAAUCAGAAGAAACAUCAGCCAUCAAUGCUCAUCAUCUCUGAAUUUUGAUAACAAAUUUAUAAAAACAAAUGUCCAUCCUCAAAGCAAGCGUAAACGGAAACAAACUAUAAUGAAUUAUAAUUUGAAAAUAACUCAUGAUGUCAGAUUUCACCAAUAAAUUAAUUGUUCAUGUUUACAUCGUUGUAGUUUUAAUAAACUUAUUGGGACUCAUUCAUUGAUGAAAUCAGAGAGAUAACACACAAGGCUAUGUAUAUCAGGAAUGCUAUCUUUGCAACGCACAUACUGUAAUGUUUUGAACUAAACAAAACUAGAGAAAAAUUGUUACACUGAAGCAAUUAUUUGUGAAUAAAAUAUUAGUUAUUCAAUGGACAUAUUAAACAAUGUUUGAUCAGUUGUGUUUCAUGUUUUUGUUUUUGAUGGGAUAAGACUUUAUUAUUUUUGAAGCAUUGUGUCGAAAUUGUUAGGUGUGGCAUAACAAAACUGUUCAAUGGUAUUGGGUAUUUGGAAAUACAAUGAAAAGCUUAGUUUGAGUAAGCUGCAUUUUUUACUUAUAAAGUUAAAGCCAUUGGACACUUUCGGUAAACAGUAUUGUCCAAGGCCCACAC
Long non-coding RNA from Asterias rubens (European starfish), 1100 nucleotides. RefSeq lists it as uncharacterized. The record is from RefSeq and is a predicted model, not a curated record. Lineage: Eukaryota; Metazoa; Echinodermata; Asteroidea; Forcipulatida; Asteriidae. The transcript is spliced from 3 exons.